CAGAAAGAUGGCGUUGGUGUGUGUGAGUGUGUUUGCAUGCCUGCAUUUAUAUUUGCAACUUAAGCUUAACCAUCACAUCCUCAUACUAUCACCUAAUACUGUCACUCUAAUGUUGUGAAUGUAAACAUUACCUUUUGUUUGGCAUCAGACUGAUUGUUGCAUCAGGAUAAAAGAGGAGCUGAAUUCAAGUGGACUGAAUAGAUGCAGCGGAUUGGCUGCAGCUAGUUUGUUGAACCUGUGUUUGGGAUCUUUUGCACUGGGCUCUUUGUCUUGCAUUUCCCCUAGCUUCUUUUCUCUUUACUUCUCUUUGCGGUUUCUUUUUGUUGAUGGUGAAAAUUGUGCAUCAAUGCAGUCUAAAGCUUCCUCAGUGAAGUGACCCGUGUUUAAAUGUUCUGGGGCUCUCUAGUUGAAUUGCUCAAACAAAUUGCUGUUGAUAUGAAGAUGUGGGGUGCUGUCCAUUGAGCAAGAGGUUUAUACACUUGGCAUUGCGUCAGUACUGCAAGGCAUAGAAUCGUCUGACCUGCAAAAAGUUAUGACUUUCACAAGUUGGGUAUCUCCUUUGAAUAGGUUCAUUUCCUAACACGUUACACAUUUGAUAUGCAUUUUGAAAUUACUUAUGCAAUGAAGCUUGGCAAGUAUUCAAUCAGAAAACCAUCAGUGAGGUUACUCAGACUUCUAUGUAGGUUUCUUUUUCCCUUCCAACUCAAACAGCUGACUGUGGGUGUUGUUACUGACAUCUUGUUGCUGUCAAAGAUUAAAAUCUGUUCCCUUCUUUACUUUCAGUAUGCAAAUAAGACAACUCUACUUCAUCCCUCCCACUCCAGAUCUCAACACAACUCGCAGAAACUGAGUGGACUCAGCAGCAAAAUUUAAACAGCCAUUACAAACAUUUUCCUUGAGAAGUAUAAUCUUUAGAAGCUUUAGCUCGACUAUUGAAUGAUUCUUUUAGUGGUAAAUGUAUUUAUAUAGCAUUUUAUCUAGCCUCCUGACUACAAAACACUUUUAUCUUUCAUGUCACAUUCACCCAUUCUCACCGCAUUCACACACUAAUGGCCAAGGCUGCUAAAGCACCCAUCAGUAGCUAUCCCAUUCACACACAGCUGGGUGCAGCCAGCAGGGGCAGUAUGGGGUGAAGUAUCUUACCCAAGGACACCUCAGCAUGUGGACAGGUGACCUGCGAUCAAACCCGACCUUCUGGAUAAGAGAUGACAGACUGUACCACUCAGUAUGUUUACAUGCAGAUAAGAAAAAAAAAACAUUGAUUUAUUGCUUUAGUCUGACUGAAACUGGAAUUUAACAGACGUGAACAUGUUAGCCUGAAUUAAAUCACACUAAAUAAAACUUCUCAUACUCAGACUAACCUACCUUAGAUAAUAAGGUUGGGGAUCAAUCUUCUCUUUAAUGUAUAUGGUUCAAUCAAACUUACCAAGCUCUGAGCUGGAAAGUCGAUAACAUGAAUGCAUUAGUAGGUGGGUGGGUAGUUAACAAAACCUUGACAGAUGAAGACGGGAGAUAAAAACUAGAAAAUGUUUGUAACAAACAGCCCAGAGCUGUAAAAGUGACUGUUUCCAUUGAUGCACAUCUCUUUAGUCUCUUGCUAAUGUACUUUGCUGUCUGUUUUCACGCAUGAUACGCCAACCUGAAGACAACCAAUGGUUACAAGCUGAAAGGGGGCAGUGGGAUCACCUAGUGGAGCUUUGACUGUAGAUCGAGCUAGCUGCAUGUACUGCCCCCUUUAAUGACUAGUAUGAGUAUGUGUGCAGCUGAUUUAUUCACUUCACAUACUUAAUUGCGCUAAUGAUACAUUCUUAAGUGGCACACGUCUCAUCACCAGAGACACCAGGUCUUAGCAUGUGCAUAACUUUACAUAUUACUAGACCUGGCUUUCUGUCUCUGGUUUUAAGUCUGUGGACUAUAGUUGAAGACAAUACUUUUGCAGGACUUCUCGUUCAUUUUGUUCUCGUUUCCUUUGAAGUCCUUGCUGAUUCGGGUCAACCGGCGCUGAAAAAAAAAAAAAAAUCUAUGUGUUCUGCCAGUGGUACUAGGGUAGCUGUCAGUCUUUGUUGUAAAAUAAGCCUGAAACAGAAUUUGCCUAUGAAAAGGGAACAUGCGUGAACUGUUUUAGUGCACUUUUGACCUCUGGAUCUCUUGCUUUUGUGAGACUUGGUGACAAAAUGUGCAGCACUCACAAAAUAAUGGAAAAGCAACACAGAAAAUGACUGUUACGUAACAUCAUGUGAGAAUAGAGAGGGAGAGAUGCCAAAAGACAGCUUUAUUCAUUCUCCUCCUCUCACUGUCCUUCAAUGUUCGUCCUGCUUCAGUCCUUUCUUGUCUCCAACUUGUUUAUUACACUACUUCUUCUUCAAACAAACUGCACUCUUUUCAUUUAACCUAUCUAACCUCUCAGUCUGUUUCUCCAGAACUCACCGCUUCUCAUAAAGGACUGAUCAUAGGUUCUCGGGCAACAUCUCUUUUCUUUUCCAGUGGCCUAACUGGACUGCAAAGUGGCUCUGUUCCCCCAAACUCCGACAACCAAUGGAACAAAAAGUUCAUAGACCUUUACGAGCCAUGGGGCCAAUUACUUUAGAGCCUCUUGUGCUGGAGUCAGUAGGCCAGAAAGAUAAUGGUUCAGAAGACUGACCUCUAGCCAUCCUAUCAACAGACCAUCCAGUGCUUGAGUGUGAGGUUUACUUUUCCAAUAAUCAUCCACUUUUGAGUCCACGACGUACAAAAAUAUGGGACAUGAUGUUUCAUCGAACAAGACAAAGUCUUUAUAGUCCAAAUAUUAUUUCACUUGAACUACUAAGAGUACCUAUUAUCAAACAAAAUAGAGCAAAAUACAACCCAAACUAAAACACCAACUCCUGCAGCAGCCCUCCACCCACAAGAUAUUGUCAAAGUUUCAUCCUCACCAAGCGUCUCCUCUCUGAUAAUGUUGUACUGGGUUACAUAAAAAAGACUUGACUCUGCCUGAAAAGAACAGAGUGUUUGCCAGCCACUUUGGGUGGCCGUACUUUUUAUGCAGGGCACUUCCUUUAAGCUUCUAAUGACGAGUGACCCUUGCGUGAAGGGAUUCUUAGAGACUAGGUCAGGCUUUUAGAGUCAGGGGAGUUCCUAGUGCACCAAGUCUAUCAUGCCUGGAAACCAGGCAAUCAACUUGUGUAUGAACAAACCCUCCAAACCCCACCAACCCUUUUUAAAGUACAUAAAGAAUAUUGUUUUUAAGCAGCAUGGGUUAUUGAGAGUUGUUAUGAUGGGCUGAUCAUUCAUCAUCAGCUGGUGACACAACAGUCAUAUGUUUGUCUUUCUUUUAAAUAAGGAAACCCAUUCAUGUUGUACGCUCGGCUGCAAAGUGACUCCAGGAGGGGACAAAGAGGUGUGAGUUGGUAUGCUGCAAGCAAAGUCCCAGGAGCAACCACUUUGACAAAAGGAACCAGACUGUUGACUCGAUUCAUAAAUCAAAUGGGGUCACUGCCUCUUUGAGGACUGAGACUUGACUUCCCACGAGACUUCAACCGACAAACACCUCGGGUGAAAGAAUUAAAAGUAUUUAGCCUUUAAGUUUAUCAAAAUUUGGAAAAGUACUACUGUGUUGUGAACUUGUGAAAACCAAAUCAGGACACGUGGGCCUACUUUUAGCAAGGUUUUAGAGUACAAGUUUAUAACUGUCUCUAUUUAAAAUAAAGAUUUUUGUUAAAUGGAGAUUUUAAAGACCUCCUAUCUGUAGCUUGGGAUGGAUUUGACCAAAGAUAUUUCAAGCAAGACCAUGAAACGCUUCUUGAUGGCCAAAUAGACAUUUUUGGAUCUCUGCAAUGCUGUUUUGUAUUCUGUUGAGGAACAAAAUCACACCAAAAUACCUUUCAUGAGCUGAUUUGGCUGUUUUUAAACAUGUGAUUGUGAUAGUGGCUAAAACUGUGGACUAAUCCUCAGAUAAAAAAAUAAUUUUUAAUGCUGCACACCCACAGACUGUAUGCUGAGUUCUUUUGUUGGUAGCUCGACAAAUUAAAAAGCUAUAUUAAAUUGAGAAUCAACCCCUUGAUUACUUGUUUUAAAACAAGAUUUUAUGCAAACUUUGCUUUGAUAUCUUGUGAAUCAGCUCUCUCACUGUGCUCUGUUCAAAGACUAUAAACCUGUUUGCUAGCAAAACUAGCCGCACACAACUUUGUUUCAAUGGGAAAAUUAUGGAUUUGUUAUAUCAUCUUAGAAGUAUGGUCAGAAUGAACAGUAGUGUGGG
RNAcentral lists this long non-coding RNA (4234 nucleotides) under Xyrichtys novacula (pearly razorfish). Lineage: Eukaryota; Metazoa; Chordata; Actinopteri; Labriformes; Labridae. The record is from RNAcentral.